UGAGCCUGCAUUUGAUUAGUUUGUUGGUAGGGUAAUGGCCUACCAAGACUGUGAUCAAUAGCUGAUUUGAGAGGAUGAUCAGCCACAUUGGGACUGAGACACGGCCCAAACUCCUACGGGAGGCAGCAGUGGGGAAUCUUGCACAAUGGAGGAAACUCUGAUGCAGCGAUGCCGCGUGAGUGAAGAAGGCCUUUGGGUUGUAAAGCUCUUUCGUCGGGGAAGAAAAUGACUGUACCCGAAUAAGAAGGUCCGGCUAACUUCGUGCCAGCAGCCGCGGUAAUACGAAGGGACCUAGCGUAGUUCGGAAUUACUGGGCUUAAAGAGUUCGUAGGUGGUUGAAAAAGUUGGUGGUGAAAUCCCAGAGCUUAACUCUGGAACUGCCAUCAAAACUUUUCAGCUAGAGUUUGAUAGAGGAAAGCAGAAUUUCUAGUGUAGAGGUGAAAUUCGUAGAUAUUAGAAAGAAUACCAAUUGCGAAGGCAGCUUUCUGGAUCAAUACUGACACUGAGGAACGAAAGCAUGGGUAGCGAAGAGGAUUAGAUACCCUCGUAGUCCAUGCCGUAAACGAUGUGUGUUAGACGUUGGAAAUUUAUUUUCAGUGUCGCAGCGAAAGCGAUAAACACACCGCCUGGGGAGUACGACCGCAAGGUUAAAACUCAAAUGAAUUGACGGGGACCCGCACAAGUAGUGGAGCAUGUGGUUUAAUUCGAAGAUACGCGCAGAACCUUACCAACACUUGACAUGUUCGUCGCGACUUUAAGAGAUUAAAGUUUUCGGUUCGGCCGGACGAAACACAGGUGCUGCAUGGCUGUCGUCAGCUCGUGUCGUGAGAUGUUGGGUUAAGUCCCGCAACGAGCGCAACCCUCACUUUUAGUUGCCAUCAUUAAGUUGGGCACUCUGAAAGAACUGCCAGUGAUAAGCUGGAGGAAGGUGGGGAUGACGUCAAGUCCUCAUGGCCCUUACGUGUUGGGCUACACACGUGCUACAAUGGUAUCUACAACAGGAAGCAAGACGGCGACGUUAAGCAAAUCCUUAAAAGAUACCUCAGUUCGGAUUGCACUCUGCAACUCGAGUGCAUGAAGCUGGAAUUACUAGUAAUCGUGGAUCAGCGUGCCACGGUGAAUGCGUUCCCGGGUCUUGUACACACCGCCCGUCACACCAUGGGAGUUGGUUCUACCUUAAGGCAAGGUUUAAAACCCUUGACCACGGUAUAGUCAGCGACUGGGGUGAAGUCGUAACAAGGUAGCCGUAGGGGAACCUGCGGCUG
This 1265-nucleotide ribosomal RNA is filed under the name marine metagenome. Its description in RNAcentral is "bacterial SSU rRNA". It matches the Rfam family "Bacterial small subunit ribosomal RNA", at positions 226 to 1520 of the family's 1533-position model. The record is from RNAcentral.